UACGGAGGGUGCAAGCGUUAAUCGGAAUUACUGGGUUUAAAGGGUGCGUAGGCGGCUUUGUAAGUCAGUGGUGAAAUACGGUAGCUUAACUAUCGAGGUGCCAUUGAUACUGCAGAGCUUGAGUACAGAUGAGGUAGGCGGAAUUGACGGUGUAGCGGUGAAAUGCUUAGAUAUCGUCAAGAACACCUAUAGCGAAAGCAGCUUACUAGGCUGUAACUGACGCUGAGGCACGAAAGUGUGGGGAUCAAACAGG
Molecule: ribosomal RNA, 253 nt
Filed under: uncultured bacterium
Lineage: Bacteria
Description: partial 16S ribosomal RNA
Rfam family: Bacterial small subunit ribosomal RNA
Source: RNAcentral